UACCAGCACCCCGAGUGGUCGGCACGAUUAUUGGGCCUAAAGCAUCCGUAGCCGGUUCUACAAGUCUUCCGUUAAAUCCACCUGCUUAACAGAUGGGCUGCGGAGGAUACUAUAGAGCUAGGAGGCGGGAGAGGCAAGCGGUACUUAGUGGGUAGGGGUAAAAUCCGUUGAUCCAUUGAAGACCACCAGUGGCGAAGGCGGCUUGCCAGAACGCACUCGACGGUGAGGGAUGAAAGCUGGGGGAGCAAACCGG
Molecule: ribosomal RNA, 253 nt
Filed under: uncultured bacterium
Lineage: Bacteria
Description: partial 16S ribosomal RNA
Rfam family: Archaeal small subunit ribosomal RNA
Source: RNAcentral